Oryctolagus cuniculus (rabbit) is the source of this 78-nucleotide microRNA precursor. It matches the Rfam family "mir-34 microRNA precursor family". Rfam says of the family: Human mir-34a was discovered computationally and later experimentally verified. The mature sequence is excised from the 5' arm of the hairpin. NCBI's taxonomy places the organism in Eukaryota, Metazoa, Chordata, Mammalia, Lagomorpha, Leporidae. The record is from Rfam.
GUUUCUUUGGCAGUGUCUUAGCUGGUUGUUGUGAGUCACAGAGAAGGAAGCAAUCAGCAAGUAUACUGCCCUAGAAGU